AUUGUCCCGCUUGGGAUUCUACUAGUUUGACCUGCAAUAACGAGACUUGUCCAAGAGCCGGGCACUUGAAAAUUGAUGAUAACUAUCCCGUUGUGUCACAAUCAGUGACCAAAAAUCAGUCAUCAUCCAGAGAAGUUGGACAGAUGACCUUAAUAUAUAAAGAGAAAGUUCAUAUUGGAGCAAAAAAUAAGAAGUAUAUGCUCCAGGACCUGUGUGAAUCACAGCUGCCAGAAAACCAAGAAAGCAGAAAAGAUUCUCCUGAAAAAUAUCCUCAUUUGAAGUCUACUGUUGUGGUGAAAAUGUCUGUUCAUCAUAAAACAGUUGGCACGAAGGCUUUGCAAAUGUCCAGAGCAGGUACAUUUUGCAAUAUAACUUUAACUCUGAAAAGGACGCUAAAAUAUUUGGAAUGCUCACAGUCUUCUUACUCCCUUUUGUUUUCUUAGCAAAUUUAGUUGACGGAUUUGACAUACCUAAGGUAGAUGUUAUUGUUGGUAUAGGUGCUUUGAAAGGUAUGAAUAUGCUAAAGAGAUUUUAUAAUUUAGUUAGUUAGUUUCUGAUUGAUGUUAUUAAAAGGAGACCAACAACAGGAUGCACUUUAGUAUACUUUUGGUUGAGGUGACUUGCUUUUUUAUAUAUUUUUGUUUAUCGUGGUCCUUUUACAGUGAUCUCUCAAAUCAUGCUGUACCACAAGUGACCCANACACACACACACACACACACACACACACACACACACACAUUCUUCAUCUCAGAUUUUCUUCUAACAUCGUCUGUCAAAAUUGAUUGGAUAUAGUCCCUUGUGCUAUACAGGAAGACCCCAUUGCAUAUCCAUUCUAACUGAAAUAGUUUGC
This 850-nucleotide long non-coding RNA is filed under the name Sus scrofa (pig). Its description in RNAcentral is "lncRNA (ENSSSCG00040028838.1)". The record is from RNAcentral. Lineage: Eukaryota; Metazoa; Chordata; Mammalia; Artiodactyla; Suidae.